This 579-nucleotide ribosomal RNA is filed under the name uncultured bacterium. RNAcentral describes it as "partial 16S ribosomal RNA". It matches the Rfam family "Bacterial small subunit ribosomal RNA", at positions 355 to 932 of the family's 1533-position model. The record is from RNAcentral.
UGGGGAAUUUUGGACAAUGGGCGAAAGCCUGAUCCAGCAAUGCCGCGUGUGUGAAGAAGGCCUUCGGGUUGUAAAGCACUUUUGUCCGGAAAGAAAUCCUUGGCUCUAAUACAGUCGGGGGAUGACGGUACCGGAAGAAUAAGCACCGGCUAACUACGUGCCAGCAGCCGCGGUAAUACGUAGGGUGCAAGCGUUAAUCGGAAUUACUGGGCGUAAAGCGUGCGCAGGCGGUUUGCUAAGACCGAUGUGAAAUCCCCGGGCUCAACCUGGGAACUGCAUUGGUGACUGGCAGGCUAGAGUAUGGCAGAGGGGGGUAGAAUUCCACGUGUAGCAGUGAAAUGCGUAGAGAUGUGGAGGAAUACCGAUGGCGAAGGCAGCCCCCUGGGCCAAUACUGACGCUCAUGCACGAAAGCGUGGGGAGCAAACAGGAUUAGAUACCCUGGUAGUCCACGCCCUAAACGAUGUCAACCAGUUGUUGGGGAUUCAUUUCCUUAGUAACGUAGCUAACGCGUGAAGUUGACCGCCUGGGGAGUACGGUCGCAAGAUUAAAACUCAAAGGAAUUGACGGGGUCAUAGCUG